This is a long non-coding RNA of Dreissena polymorpha, 671 nucleotides long. RefSeq lists it as uncharacterized. The record is from RefSeq and is a predicted model, not a curated record. The transcript is spliced from 3 exons. Lineage: Eukaryota; Metazoa; Mollusca; Bivalvia; Myida; Dreissenidae.
UUGGGUAAAAUGGUGGGUCAAACGUCCAUUUUACGGCCGUAUUGUUGGGUCUUUAGUCGAUUGUCGGGUCCCAAAGUCGAUUAUCGGGCACUUGGACCCGACAGUUGAAGACCCACUUAAAAAAAGGCUGCUUAACAUACUCAUGACUAUUUUUAAAUUCAAAUUUGCAUGUGUAAUUUUACUCGAAUUGUCGGGCCUAUAUCUCCCAUUAGCACACAUUAGGUCAAACUCCACACAGCAGUUACUUCCCUUGGGCAUUCGCCAAUCAUUAAUGUCUUUUUCUAGAAUAAGGGAGGCCACUGCGUAUGAGAUUGACCAACCUCGGCGCAGUGAUUUACCGGGAACCAGCAUAGCAACGAACGACAACUCGGCGCCCGACAACUCUGUAAUAAAAAUUGCCAAUUUUCGCGGUUAAACUUAAAAAGAGUCCAUGUCAACUGCUGACAGUGAAGAGCCAGGCAGUCUGACCCAUGAUAGGAGGGAGCCAUGAAGAGCCAGCCAGUCUGACCCAUGAUAGGAGGGAGCCAAGUGAAGAGCCAGCCAGUCUGACCCAUGAUUCUUGACAUGACUCAUGGUGAACUAAAAUUGCUUGCAAAGCAUCUGGGACAUGAUGUGAAGACCCACAAGGAAUAUUAUCAGUUGUCUUCCAGUACCAUGGAACUCUCAAAGGU